GGGCUUGACAUCCCACGAACCUGCCCGAAAAGGUGGGGUGCCCGCAAGGGAGCGUGGAGACAGGUGGUGCAUGGCUGUCGUCAGCUCGUGUCGUGAGAUGUUGGGUUAAGUCCCGCCACGAGCGCCACCCUCACCCCUAGUUGCCACCGGGUUAAGCCGAGCACUCAAGGGGAACUGCCAGCGUCAAGCUGGAGGAAGGCGGGGAUGACGUCAAGUCAUCAUGCCCCUUACGCCCUGGGCUACACACGUGCUACAAUGGCCAGUACAAAGGGACGCGAGACUGCGAAGUGGAGCUAAUCCCAAAAAGCUGGUCUAAGUUCAGAUUGCAGUCUGCAACUCGACUGCAUGAAGGAGGAAUCGCUAGUAAUCGCGUAUCAGCCCGGCGCGGUGAAUACGUUCCCGGGCCUUGUACACACCGCCCGUCACACCACGAAAGCUGUCUGUACUCGAAGUCGCUGAG
Molecule: ribosomal RNA, 460 nt
Filed under: NC10 bacterium enrichment culture
Lineage: Bacteria; Methylomirabilota (SeqCode)
Description: bacterial SSU rRNA
Rfam family: Bacterial small subunit ribosomal RNA
Source: RNAcentral